GGUAAGAUGGCCGAGCGGUCUAAGGCGCUAGCUUCAGGAUCCGAACAUCGGAACCGGAACUGCUAGUCUCUCACGAGGCGUGGGUUCGAAUCCCACUCUUAUCA
Cephalotrichum gorgonifer is the source of this 104-nucleotide non-coding RNA. NCBI's taxonomy places the organism in Eukaryota, Fungi, Ascomycota, Sordariomycetes, Microascales, Microascaceae. The record is from the annotation of a GenBank genome assembly.